RNAcentral lists this transfer RNA (68 nucleotides) under Ceratitis capitata (Mediterranean fruit fly). RNAcentral's name for it is "tRNA-Asn". The record is from RNAcentral. Lineage: Eukaryota; Metazoa; Arthropoda; Insecta; Diptera; Tephritidae.
AUGUUGGCGUAGUGGUAGCGCACUUGCCUGUUAAGUCAGGAUACGUUGGUUCGAUCCCUGUCAAAAGA